CCUACGGUGGGCUGCAGUGGGGAAUAUUGGGCAAUGGGCGCAAGCCUUACCCAGCAAUACCGCGUGAGUGAAGAAGGUCUUCGGAUUGUAAAGCUCUUUGAUCAGGGACGAACAGAUGACGGUACCUGAAGAACAAGCCCCGGCUAACUACGUGCCAGCAGCCGCGGUAAAACGUAGGGGGCGAGCGUUGUCCAGAAUGACUGGGCGUAAAGGGUGCGUAGGCGGGCGUUCAAGUCAGCUGUAAAAUCGCGCGGCUCAACCGCGCACCGCAGUUGAAACUGGACGCCUUGAGUUCACAACAGGCAGGCGGAAUUCGUGGUGUAGCGGUGAAAUGCAUAGAUAUCACGAGGAACCCCGAUUGCGAAGGCAGCCUGCCGGGGUGCGACUGACGCUGAGGCUCGAAGGUGCGGGUAUCAAACAGGAUUAGAUACCCGAGUAGUC
This 441-nucleotide ribosomal RNA is filed under the name uncultured bacterium. RNAcentral's name for it is "partial 16S ribosomal RNA". It matches the Rfam family "Bacterial small subunit ribosomal RNA", at positions 338 to 795 of the family's 1533-position model. The record is from RNAcentral.